AAACUAAUUGCGCAGUUCUUGUUUCCUUGUUCUGCGUUGAUGUUUUAUACCUACACCGCUCACCGCGAGUUUUCCACCUUCGUUUUGUUUCUGUGCCCGAGACUGAGAGCGUGGACAGGCUGUCUAAAACCACACCGAUCUGUGCUGACCGCCCGCCAGUUCCUGCUCUGUUGGCCGAAAUCCCCAGGUCUGGCUGCGCAAUUCCCCAAAUGCGAAGCUGGAUGACGAAUGCUCUCCCUGUGCCUUGCUCUGCGGGGAUCUGCAGCAAGGUGGCGUGGUGUAGUUGAGAGGACGAGAAAGCGCGAUUCAGGGCAGUCAGCCCGAGGCAGGCGCCGGCUCAGGUCAGCCCUUUUAUUUCGGCCGUCCCUCCGGGACGAAGCCGCGGCUUUUCUGCCUCAUCACGCUGGGGCCCCUGACCGCAGCUGGCACCGCGCGCCGGCGUCCUGAGGGCGGUGAGAAACGCGCGGGGUCCCCCGGGACUCCAGCACCUGAGAGCCUUCGUUGCUCAGCCGCGGGGAGCAGCCGCUCGCUCGCGUCCCGCGGCGAGGCCAUGGCCGGGUCCCAGCUGCCCACAUGUAAUUAAAGGACGGCUUUGGGAAGCGAUGCGCUUCUUGCGGCUUUUCUGUCCGGAGUGGAGUUCAAAGCCAAGGCCCCGGCAUAAAUGCCAGGCACGGAGGAAUCCCCGGGUGCAGGGGGAAUUUGCUGAUGCACCCUCGUGGUUUCUCACUGGUCUUUUUUUUUUCUGACCCGAGGGGCCAAACGCAAACUUGACGCUUCACAGUCCGCGCAGACUAGGGGAGAGGCUGCUCGUCAUCGCCCCGUGCCUCUGGUUUUGCGCCCAGAACGUGUUUCUUCGGGACACUCGUUGGCCCCCGUCCCGCGGGCGUCCCCGUGGGGACCGAGCUGUCGUCGUGCCGCCUCGUCCCCACCGCCCAGUCUUCGUGGGUCCUCUGCUCCUCCGCUGGAGCUGGCGGCUGGCCUCGUGCUGCUUUGUCUCGGGUGUUGCUGUGUGACCCGCGCUGCGACCGAGGCUGCCCGUCUCCUGGAGCUGAGGGUGGUUUCCAUGCUGUAGGGUGGUUUUCAUGCUGUAGGAGUUUGCGUCUCGUUACCGGGCGUGCGAGCGGCUUAGGCACGCUCAGUAAAUUGGUUUUGGAUUAAUGCGUUUGGCUUUGUUGAAAGCUUUUUGAUUUUUUGAAGGUGGAGUAGGUCCUUCUUUAGAAACUGUUGGUUUUAAAGCCCGUUUGUGUGGCGUUGAUGUGAACUCUCUUGUUCAAGCAUUGAUCAGAAGCCCCAGAGCUUCAAGGGAGGGACGUGGCGUGAACUCAGAUCUUCUUUAGAAACAGGUCUCACCUUUUCUAAUUGCAAAGAUCAGGCUGAAACGCUGCCCUGCAAUGGCGUAGAAAAUGAUAGCAAAUCACAGAUGUCCGACUUCUUUUUUUUUUUUUUU
Molecule: long non-coding RNA, 1447 nt
Filed under: Anser brachyrhynchus (Pink-footed goose)
Lineage: Eukaryota; Metazoa; Chordata; Aves; Anseriformes; Anatidae
Description: lncRNA (ENSABRG00000022152.1)
Source: RNAcentral